UAUGUGACGUUGAAUGUGUUGCUUUCUGUGGUAAGAACUGCUGGAAUGCACUGAAUGUUCUGUGAGCUGGCAAUAUUCAUGAAUACAUGUAGCUGAUGAAUUCCUCAAGACAUGUACCUUUACCCCAGUUUCUAAUAAGCGAGAUGUUAAUUGCCAACAUAUUCUUUGGUAAUGGUUUAAACAAUCAUAAAUAUUAUGCUUUCAGUAGUAGAAAAAAGUAACUCAAAAUCUUUUUCUUCCCAAAGCAGUUACAAUUUGUUUGUGCGAUAUCUCAAUGAGCAUCACACAAAUUACCCUGGCUAUAGGUGUAGGGUGAUUUGUCAGCUUUGCUAUAUAAAAAUGUACUAGUACUAUGUGCUUUAGUGUCUAUUCUCAGUGCUUUAUCACAACACAACAUUUUGCAAGCAAGCUAAUACAGAACUGUAACUCUUCAUUUCUUCAUUAAACCAAUUACCAAAAUUAAAAGAUUCCAUGUUGCCAUGCAUCUUUUCAGUACUGUUAUAGAUUACAGCUGAAACCAGCAUGUGGUAACAACAAAAAAGUGGCACACAAGGCAUUAGCCGAGUGUGUCACUGAUGUGCUUACCACACAAUUUUUAGCAAGUAUGAAGAAACCAAAAAAUGUUAAUGAUGCCAUCUAUAUGUCUGUCCUCUAGUAGAUCAUACAUGUAAGUAAGAACCAAUCAAAAUUUCAGAAUGAUUUGACAUAAUGGUAUGCAUUGGUUUAUCAGACUGAUGCAGUUCUAAUUUAUAAAACUGUAGCUCUGGUGUGGGGUGUAAGAUUUGCUCUGCAUGCUAGUAAUAUUUUGGAGCAUGAGUUUUGUUGCAUCAACCUCAUUAUACUUGCAGCAUCACUAUUUUAUAUGGUCUGUGCUAUUACUUAGCAUAAUUUUAUGAUAGCAAGUAAUAUAGUCUACUCCUUGCAGAGUUUAAUCACAUUUUAGCAUUGCUGAAGCUCAAGCAACAUUCGCAGAUUUAUUUCGUUCGCUUUAGUUUUCCCUCCUCUCCCUCCCUAGUUACUGUGUACAGACAAUUAAAAUGACAGCUUUUUUGAUUACUAUGUAUAAUUACAUAUGAUUAUGUUCUCUUACUCUUCAAUGUUAUUAGUAUGCAAAUUAUUUCAUGUUAGUAACUAGCCAAAAAAAAUCUGUGUUAUCUUGUAUAUCUAUCAGUUUACUUGUUUCUUAUGCUGGAGUAUUUUUACUCUAUUAUAUUUAAAGUAGUGAAUGUUUCAAUACUAGAGAAUUAUUUAGUAAAUUAAAGUAUGUAGUUAAUUAUUAAUAAAGGCUGUCUUUCAUCCCAAACACUGCCUAGCUUAUUGUGUUGUGUAAUUUAGAUAUAUAAGACACUGUAUAUGGCUUAUGUGACAGGCUUUAAGAGAUUCUAAUGAAACAGUCAUGGCAACCUGACUUCUUGCUACAGUGUGUAUGCACAUCUACAUGAAAAUUGUACAUAUUUUGUGAUAACAACAGGAAAAGUAAUGUAGAAAUGUAAAUAACAGAGUGGAUAUAUCAAGUCAGCAAGGUUGAUUUUUGUCACUGUUAAGGGAUGUGCGCUAUAUACCGGUAGCUAGAGAAAAUGGUAUAAACAUCUAAUAAUCUUCAAAUGUAAAUACAUGCCCAGAUGGCAAAUACUAUGGCACACAAUUUAAAGAGAAAAUUUGUUUACUUCAAAGCCAUUUCACUUAGAUUAGCUUAAGUGUUUCCUUGCAACAGUUUACUUAUGCAUAACAAGUUCCUAAAACAUGAGAAGUUACAUCAGUUUUGUUUUAUAGCAGAACACACUUUACUGAGAAGAUAAAAACAGAGGCUUCUUAAAAUGACUCAGGAAGUUGGUACAGUGGAAGCUGUUGAAGGGUCUCUAGAUGUAUCACUCUACCCAAUUGGCUCAUUUCUGAAGAUAAUGCCCUAUCACGCAUGUGCCACUGCUUAUAUGCAUCCUAUAUACUAUGUUGUGAAGGAAGACCUGGUUGUGGACAAGUGGAUUCCUAAUAGAGGCUGGUGAAUUGUUGCCACAAGUUGGCCGAUACUGAGUGCAAAGUGUAACGCUUGACUUGUUGGCAGCCAAAAUACUGCAAGACAUUUAUGCACUCACAGUGUAUGAUAUAAUUUUAUUGAUAAGACAUAUGUUCAUAAUUUGCAUCUGAUAAGAUUUUCUUGCAUUAGCUUCCACUGAAGCUAGCCCCACCUUAUUUCUUUAGAGGCAGGGGCUAACUGUUUACAUGAAUGGCCAAUGGGUUCGAAUUUAACACGAAAAGUGAAUAAUAACAGUAUGAGUUUCAAAUUCCUUUUCAGUUUGUUCGAAGCAAGCAUUAAUGCAAUAACCUAAUGGGAACGUCAUCCUACCACCGUCAACCUAGCAACUUGGCACUCUGGUAACGUGGGCACAUGAAAUAGUAAAGGUUUUGGUUUUUUUGAACUAGCGCUAUAUAAGAAUAUUAGAUUUAUUUUUAAAUUACAUAAAUUAGUAUCAGUGCAAAAUAUUAAAAUAUUAAAGUAUACGUUUCAAAAACUGAUCGUCUGCUUUUACGUGAUGUUUUACGUUGUUUCAUGACGUGGCACAACCAUGGAGGAUGUCAAAUGAUUUGCAGGGAUGGGAAGCUGGAAACACACCCUGUAAAAAAUAAAGUACCCACUAAAAUUGAUUAUUUGAAAUAUGACACCCAGCCUGUGAAAGGCGUGCCCAAAAUACAUGAAGAUUAAUUAAACAGGAACCUCUCCUUUGGAAUACUUCCAUUCAGAGAACACCUCCAUUCCGGAGACACAAAUUUGGGUCCCGAAAAAGUUCAUCUGAUCUUUGUUUUUGUAUACCUCUAUUGAAGAGAUAUUGGAGCCGGCUACUAAAGUUGUCAGUCUUCUCAUAGUGUCUGAGAUCGCGUGUGUGCCUCAUGCUACUUUGAGCCAGAUCAACCCACUCCUACUCUCAAUUUCCUGAACACAGCGAGUGCAUUUUACUACGAAUUAUUUUAUCUCAGGCCAUUCGCAUUGUUGUAUUGACCGGAUGAAAUUUUCUAAGAAAUAAAAGCUUGGGGUUACUGGUCGUAAUAUGGGAAUUCCAGAAAAGAAUUUGAAUGACGAUUUAUUCAGUUCUUUUUUUCUGUGGAAGUAAUUAGAACGAGGUAAUCAAAUGGUGGAAUGCCAUGGUAGAUUCUUGCGAUGUUGUUGAAUAUAACAUCAGAAGGUAACGGGUUGAUGCUAUCACUCGGUCUUCACGGAAAAUCUCAGAUCUCUCCGUCCAAAACUGCCUUUAUUUUGUUAAAACUUGAAAUGGAAAUCAAAGCUGCUUUUUUUCUGCUUUGGUUUCGACUUGAGAAGAUGAAAUAUAAAAUUUCAUUAACGUUUUUACUGCGCCUUUCAAUAACAUGCUGACCUCAACCGUUAAAUAACGUCAAUCAAAUGUUCAGCGGCUCCUCCCAGUUUCUGACUAUGCUGUCUGAACAGUGCUCAACGAUUUGAUUUGAUUACCGCGCGCUCGGCAGUAGUCGGAAGCUUGAAAGAACCGCCGAACAUUUGAUUGACGGUAGCGAAAAACGCAUUUCUCGGUUGAGAUUUGAAUGUUAUUGAACAGCGCAGUAAGAAUCCAAGGGCCAAAAACUCUUUCUCCCUUUGCAACUGUUGCAGUUUUGAUGAAAAAAGCAGUAAGUUUGGAUUAUCCCCUGCUUUCUUAUAUUAAGAGUAUUGUACAGGCCGGCAAAUGAUCCCGGGACCGAAACUGAUUUCACCGCAAAAAGUAUGGAAUGGCGUGGACUCCAUGAAAAGUCUUUUGAUGGAUACAUAUUUUUUUUAAUUAUCCAAGGUGA
This is a long non-coding RNA of Orbicella faveolata, 3798 nucleotides long. Lineage: Eukaryota; Metazoa; Cnidaria; Anthozoa; Scleractinia; Merulinidae. The record is from RefSeq and is a predicted model, not a curated record.